RNAcentral lists this ribosomal RNA (293 nucleotides) under Klebsiella pneumoniae. RNAcentral describes it as "partial 23S ribosomal RNA". It matches the Rfam family "Bacterial large subunit ribosomal RNA", at positions 171 to 502 of the family's 2925-position model. The record is from RNAcentral. Lineage: Bacteria; Pseudomonadati; Pseudomonadota; Gammaproteobacteria; Enterobacterales; Enterobacteriaceae.
UUAACGAGGCGAACCGGGGGAACUGAAACAUCUAAGUACCCCGAGGAAAAGAAAUCAACCGAGAUUCCCCCAGUAGCGGCGAGCGAACGGGGAGCAGCCCAGAGUCUGAAUCAGCUUGUGUGUUAGUGGAACGGUCUGGAAAGUCCGACGGUACAGGGUGAUAGUCCCGUACACCAAAAUGCACAGGCUGUGAACUCGAAGAGUAGGGCGGGACACGUGGUAUCCUGUCUGAAUAUGGGGGGACCAUCCUCCAAGGCUAAAUACUCCUGACUGACCGAUAGUGAACCAGUACC